RNAcentral lists this ribosomal RNA (468 nucleotides) under uncultured bacterium. RNAcentral describes it as "partial 16S ribosomal RNA". It matches the Rfam family "Bacterial small subunit ribosomal RNA", at positions 28 to 507 of the family's 1533-position model. The record is from RNAcentral.
GACGAACGCUGGCGGCGUGCUUAACACACGCAAGUCGAACGGAAAGGCCCUGCUUUUGUGGGGUGCUCGAGUGGCGAACGGGUGAGUAACACGUGAGUAACCUGCCCUUGACUUUGGGAUAACUUCAGGAAACUGGGGCUAAUACCGGAUAGGAGCUCCUGCUGCAUGGUGGGGGUUGGAAAGUUUCGGCGGUUGGGGAUGGACUCGCGGCUUAUCAGCUUGUUGGUGGGGUAGUGGCUUACCAAGGCUUUGACGGGUAGCCGGCCUGAGAGGGUGACCGGCCACAUUGGGUCUGAGAUACGGCCCAGACUCCUACGGGAGGCAGCAGUGGGGAAUAUUGCACAAUGGGCGGAAGCCUGAUGCAGCAACGCCGCGUGCGGGAUGACGGCCUUCGGGUUGUAAACCGCUUUCGCCUGUGACGAAGCGUGAGUGACGGUAAUGGGUAAAGAAGCACCGGCUAACUACGUG